CGAUGGUCUGUCUUUCCCGCCAAAUCAGCCCGGAACCUGAGGUAGUUCCUUUCCGGUCCCGUCUACAAGACCACGUUUAAAAGACGGCGGCGCCACAACUGUUUGAGUACGGACCAAUACCAGCAUCAGCGUGUUACUUUAGACAGCUGAACCAAAGUUACAAUGGACCCCGCUCAUCUCUCGGAAAAAAACGUUUGCCCUGUACUAUGGCUGCACAGGGCCCACUGCUGCCAGCAUGACCGCAAUGAUGGUGGAUCUUGGCCUGCGUGCGCCAUUGUUUUUGUGGAGGACCUACUCGGGUAGGACCCACUAAGAGAAGCACCAUGGAUGAUUAUGAAAGGCAGCGGACAGAAUCGCUCUCCCUUGCAGGGUUGCAGUGACAAAAAACAGGACCGAAGCGAACACUGAUCCCAGCAGCUUAUAGAAUUUGGUGAUGCUGGGACUGAAGUCUUAAUCCUUCUGAUAGAAGGUGCUGCGACCCCUUGGAUCAGCCCCUCCAUGAUCUGUUACCUAAAUCACCACAACUAGGGGACUUUGUUAUGCUCUUGUAGGGAAGUGCAAACUUAACAGAAAAGGCCAACUUUAAGACUGGGGUGAAUCUGGUGGUGCUGCUGGGGCUGAAGGUGCAAUUAUUCCGAAAGGAGUUGCUGUGCCCCCUUGGACCUGCCAUGAUCUGUUGCCUAAAUAAUCUGCGGGACUGACAAGCUCUUCUGGGAACCAGCCAAGCUAAAGGCCGGCGUAUGCAACGAGAUGGCUCUGGUGGUGAGUGACGGGAGCCCAUCUUGUGAAAGACUAGGACAAGUUACCCCCUGCUCCGCUGCCCCUAUAGGACACUUCUGGCAGUGCAAUGGAGCCGACCCAUUGACCUGCAUGAUCACAUUGCUUGUAUUACUCUACUUCACAUGAAUACCUUUUGUAAAUCCUGUUCAGCAACGUGGUACAUUUCUGUUUGAGAGAUAAAAAUGGAAACCGUUUCCCAUGCAUUCAGCUUCACAUCAGUUAUUUCAAUGUCCAGUUUUUCCCCUUUUCUUUUUCAAAAAUUCUGUUGUCUCCAUAUUCAGUGCUGUGGUGCCAUGGUAUAACUUGCUUAUUAUGCCUUUUGGAACUCCUGAAAUUUAGGCAUUAAUAAAUGUAUUAAUAAUAA
This is a long non-coding RNA of Gadus macrocephalus (Pacific cod), 1144 nucleotides long. RefSeq lists it as uncharacterized. NCBI's taxonomy places the organism in Eukaryota, Metazoa, Chordata, Actinopteri, Gadiformes, Gadidae. The transcript is spliced from 9 exons. The record is from RefSeq and is a predicted model, not a curated record.